AAAAGAAAGGUGGUGGCCUCGCUGACCAUGCUCGUGACAUGGACCAUCUGGAACGAAAGAAAUGCUCGGGUCUUCCAGCAUAAGAGCACCCCACCGCCAAUUUUGCUCACUACUAUUGCUAACGAGGCAAAUCUUUGGGUCACUACCGGAGCAAAGAAACUAGGUCUAUUAUUUUGUGUGAGUAAUCUUUUAUGCUGUGUAAGAGUGACUAUAUUGUAA
RNAcentral lists this ribosomal RNA (219 nucleotides) under Triticum aestivum (bread wheat). RNAcentral describes it as "partial small subunit ribosomal RNA". The record is from RNAcentral. Lineage: Eukaryota; Viridiplantae; Streptophyta; Magnoliopsida; Poales; Poaceae.